UUUUUUUUUUUUAAUGACGAACUACAGCGAGAACGCCAAGGAUCGUCGAUUCCCAGCCAGCGGACCACCCCAUUAACUUAAUCCGGGGACAAUUGGGCCCUUGACAGACCCAAAUUGGGUCGAAUGGAUCAACCCAUUCGGACCAGAAUUCCUACUAGGCGGUGCCAUCGCCGACCACGGACCAAAAUUCCUACUAGGCGAUGGCACCGCCAAGGUCGGCGG
RNAcentral lists this long non-coding RNA (222 nucleotides) under Musa acuminata (dwarf banana). RNAcentral's name for it is "long non-coding RNA (MACU_LNC007908)". Lineage: Eukaryota; Viridiplantae; Streptophyta; Magnoliopsida; Zingiberales; Musaceae. The record is from RNAcentral.